UUCUUCAGUUGAUUUUUGAGUAUGGGU
RNAcentral lists this non-coding RNA (27 nucleotides) under Rattus norvegicus (Norway rat). Lineage: Eukaryota; Metazoa; Chordata; Mammalia; Rodentia; Muridae. The record is from RNAcentral.